AUUGAACGCUGGCGGCAGGCUUAACGCAUGCAAGUCGAGCGGGGUGAUGGUGCUUGCACUAUCACUUAGCGGCGGACGGGUGAGUAAUGCUUAUGAAUCUGCCUAUUAGUGGGGGACAACAUCUCGAAAGGGAUGCUAAUACCGCAUACGUCCUACGGGAGACAGCAGGGGAUCACUGGUGACCUUGCGCUAAUAGAUGAGCCUAAGUCGGAUUAGCUAGUUAGUGGGGUAAAGGCCUACCAAGGCGACGAUCUGUAGCGGGUGUGAGAGGAUGAUCCGCCCCACUGGGACUGAGACACGGCCCAGACUCCUACGGGAGGCAGCCGUGGGGAAUAUUGGACAAUGGGGGGAACCCUGAUCCAGCCAUGCCGCGUGUGUGAAGAAGGCCUUAUGGUUGUAAAGCACUUUAAGCGAGGAGGAGGCUCUUUUGGUUAAUACCCAAGAUGAGUGGACGUUACUCGCAGAGUAAGCACCGGCUAACUCUGUGCCAGCCGCCGCCGUAA
RNAcentral lists this ribosomal RNA (503 nucleotides) under uncultured bacterium. RNAcentral's name for it is "partial 16S ribosomal RNA". It matches the Rfam family "Bacterial small subunit ribosomal RNA", at positions 30 to 523 of the family's 1533-position model. The record is from RNAcentral.